UGCAGUCGAACGAAGCAAUUGCGACAGAAGCCUUCGGGUGGAAGAUGUAAUUGACUGAGUGGCGGACGGGUGAGUAACGCGUGGGUAACCUGCCUUGUACAGGGGGAUAACAGUUAGAAAUGACUGCUAAUACCGCAUAAGCGCACAGUAUCGCAUGGUACAGUGUGAAAAACUCCGGUGGUACAAGAUGGACCCGCGUCUGAUUAGCUAGUUGGUAAGGUAACGGCUUACCAAGGCAACGAUCAGUAGCCGACUUGAGAGAGUGAUCGGCCACAUUGGGACUGAGACACGGCCCAAACUCCUACGGGAGGCAGCAGUGGGGAAUAUUGCACAAUGGGGGAAACCCUGAUGCAGCGACGCCGCGUGAGUGAAGAAGUAUUUCGGUAUGUAAAGCUCUAUCAGCAAGGAAGAUAAUGACGGUACUUGACUAAGAAGCCCCGGCUAACUACGUGCCAGCAGCCGCGGUAAUACGUAGGGGGCAAGCGUUAUCCGGAUUUACUGGGUGUAAAGGGAGCGUAGACGGUAUGGUAAGUCAGAUGUGAAAGCCCGGGGCUUAACCCCGGAACUGCAUUUGAAACUAUCAAACUAGAGUGUCGGAGAGGUAAGUGGAAUUCCUAGUGUAGCGGUGAAAUGCGUAGAUAUUAGGAGGAACACCAGUGGCGAAGGCGGCUUACUGGACGAUAACUGACGUUGAGGCUCGAAAGCGUGGGGAGCAAACAGGAUUA
This 725-nucleotide ribosomal RNA is filed under the name uncultured bacterium. RNAcentral describes it as "bacterial SSU rRNA". It matches the Rfam family "Bacterial small subunit ribosomal RNA", at positions 56 to 780 of the family's 1533-position model. The record is from RNAcentral.